Long non-coding RNA from Telopea speciosissima, 192 nucleotides. RefSeq lists it as uncharacterized. The transcript has 3 exons. The record is from RefSeq and is a predicted model, not a curated record. Lineage: Eukaryota; Viridiplantae; Streptophyta; Magnoliopsida; Proteales; Proteaceae.
UGGGGAUGUAGUGGUAUUUGAUACAACAUACAAGAAGAAUCGAUAUCACUUCCCGUUUGGUCCCUUUACCGGAGUAAAUCAUCAUGGUCAAAGUAUUUUGUUUGGAUGUGGGUUGAUAGCUGAUGAGACAAUUGAGUCGUUUAUUUGGUUAUUCUCUACGUGGUUAAAAGCAAUGGGGGAUCGACCACCAGU